Molecule: ribosomal RNA, 497 nt
Filed under: uncultured bacterium
Lineage: Bacteria
Description: partial 16S ribosomal RNA
Rfam family: Bacterial small subunit ribosomal RNA
Source: RNAcentral
GAUGAACGCUGGCGGCGUGCCUAAUACAUGCAAGUCGAGCGAACAGACGAGGAGCUUGCUCCUCUGACGUUAGCGGCGGACGGGUGAGUAACACGUGGAUAACCUACCUAUAAGACUGGGAUAACUUCGGGAAACCGGAGCUAAUACCGGAUAAUAUAUUGAACCGCAUGGUUCAAUAGUUCAAGACGGUUUUGCUGUCACUUAUAGAUGGAUCCGCGCCGCAUUAGCUAGUUGGUAAGGUAACGGCUUACCAAGGCAACGAUGCGUAGCCGACCUGAGAGGGUGAUCGGCCACACUGGAACUGAGACACGGUCCAGACUCCUACGGGAGGCAGCAGUAGGGAAUCUUCCGCAAAGGGCGCAAGCCUGACGGAGCAACGCCGCGUGAGUGAUGAAGGUCUUCGGAUCGUAAAACUCUGUUAUUAGGGAAGAACAAAUGUGUAAGUAACUCUGCACGUCUUGACGGUACCUAAUCAGAAAGCCACGGCUAACUACGUG